Molecule: ribosomal RNA, 785 nt
Filed under: uncultured soil bacterium
Lineage: Bacteria
Description: bacterial SSU rRNA
Rfam family: Bacterial small subunit ribosomal RNA
Source: RNAcentral
CAACAUGCAAGUCGGACGUUCCGCAAGGGACGUGGCGCACGGGUGAGUAACACGUAGCUAACCUGCCCCGAAGAGUGGGAUAACCCUGCGAAAGCAGGGCUAAGACCGCAUAAGCUCGCGAUGUGUAGAGGAUUGCGAGAAAAGAACUUCGGUUGCUUCGGGAGGGGGCUGCGACCCAUCAGGUAGAUGGUGCGGUAACGGCGCACCAUGCCAACGACGGGUAGGGGACCUGAGAGGGUGAACCCCCACACUGGGACUGAGACACGGCCCAGACUCCUACGGGAGGCAGCAGUGAGGGAUAUUGCACAAUGGGCGCAAGCCUGAUGCAGCGACGCCGCGUGGGUGAUGACGGUCUUCGGAUUGUAAAACCCUUUUCUGGUUGACGAGCAAGGACGGUAGACCAGGAAGAAGUGUCGGCUAACUACGUGCCAGCAGCCGCGGUAAAACGUAGGACACGAGCGUUAUCCGGAGUUACUGGGCGUAAAGGGCGUGCAGGCGGCAGGGUAAGUCUGAUGUGAAAGCUCCCGGCUCAACCGGGAGAGGACAUUGGAGACUGCCAAGCUCGAGGCAGAUAGAGGGAUGUAGAAUUCCGGGUGUAGUGGUGAAAUGCGUAGAGAUCCGGAGGAAUACCAGAGGCGAAGGCGGCAUCCUGGGUCUGACCUGACGCUGAGACGCGACAGCAUGGGGAGCGAACGGGAUUAGAAACCCCGGUAGUCCAUGCCGUAACGAUGUGUACUGGUGUUCACUCUCGCAAGAGAGGGAGCGCCUCAGCUAACGCGCUAAGU